Molecule: long non-coding RNA, 477 nt
Organism: Rhipicephalus microplus (southern cattle tick)
Lineage: Eukaryota; Metazoa; Arthropoda; Arachnida; Ixodida; Ixodidae
Source: RefSeq, a predicted model, not a curated record
UUGGCACGUGCGGCAGGCUACAUCUCACCAAGCCGUGGGAACCACCGCCGUCAGACAGCGCAGCACGCUGGCCAUUGCGUGCAAACUACCGCCCAGGACCGAAGUGUAAACGCCACGCGAGGUGCUGCUUCGAUUUCUGCUAGUUCCAACGGGGCUGCCACCGAUCGACAAGGGCCCAAUAACGCCAGCCGUAUGUUCUCGGCAACUCACCAAGAGAACCUGACGCCCGGGGUUCUUCAUCAGCUAAACGUCGUUCCCGAACGAGCGAAGAUGACGUAAUCGACCCCCCAGGGGCGCUGAUGGAUGCAUCUGUCAACGGGACUAUGAAGCGGCUCUUCAGCGCGGCACUCGACAGUGGGCGCGGCGGCGAUUCCAUGACGCGGUCUACAAACCCGAUCAUGUUUUUCGUACAGGUGGGCAAACGAUACGGAAAGUGUUACCAUAGCAAUAAAGUUUGCCUAAUCUUGCUGCCACGCC